Small nucleolar RNA from Sapajus apella (tufted capuchin), 69 nucleotides. RefSeq annotates it as small nucleolar RNA SNORD77. The record is from RefSeq and is a predicted model, not a curated record. NCBI's taxonomy places the organism in Eukaryota, Metazoa, Chordata, Mammalia, Primates, Cebidae. The transcript has a single exon.
AUACUAUGAUGGUUGCAUAGUUCAACAGGUUGAAUUUAUAAAGAGAUUUACAAUUAUAAUAUUGAAUGU